UUUCCGUAGGUGAACCUGCGGAAGGAUCAUUCAUAAUAAGUGUUUUAUGGCACUUUUUUAAAUCCAUAUCCACCUUGUGUGCAAUGUCAGGGUUGGUCUCUUUUGAUCAGCCCCAAACAUCAACUAUUAUCUCAACUCUUUGUCUGAAAUAUAUUAUGAAUAAAACAAUUCAAAAUACAACUUUCAACAACGGAUCUCUUGGCUCUC
Molecule: unclassified non-coding RNA, 207 nt
Filed under: plant metagenome
Description: partial contains small subunit ribosomal RNA, internal transcribed spacer 1, and 5.8S ribosomal RNA
Source: RNAcentral